AGCAGCUGCGGUAAUUCCAGCUCCAAUAGCGUAUAUUAAAGUUGUUGCAGUUAAAAAGCUCAUAGUUGAAUUUCAGGAUCAGUACGCUGGUCGUGCCUUUGGUAUGUACUGGUGUCACUGAUUCCUCUCUUCUGAAGAACCGUUAUGCCAUUUAUUUGGUGUGAUGGGGAAUCAGGACUGUUACUUUGAAAAAAUUAGAGUGUUUAAAGCAGGCUCGUGCUUGAAUACAUUAGCAUGGAAUAAUGAAAUAGGACAUUUGACCUUAUUUUGUUGGUUUCUGGGAUCGAUGUAAUAAUUAAUAGGGAUAGUUGGGGGCAUUAGUAUUCAAUUGUUAGAGGUGAAAUUCUUGGAUUUAUUGAAGACUAACUACUGCGAAAGCAUUUGCCAAGGAUGUUUUCAUUAAUUAAGAACGAAAGUUAGGGGAUCGAAGACGAUCAGAUACCGUCGUAGUCUUAACCAUAAACUAUGCCGACUAGGGAUCGGACGAAGUUAAUUUUUAAUGUACUCGUUCGG
RNAcentral lists this ribosomal RNA (513 nucleotides) under uncultured Glomus. Its description in RNAcentral is "SSU rRNA". It matches the Rfam family "Eukaryotic small subunit ribosomal RNA", at positions 569 to 1083 of the family's 1831-position model. The record is from RNAcentral. Lineage: Eukaryota; Fungi; Glomeromycota; Glomeromycetes; Glomerales; Glomeraceae.